This 996-nucleotide small RNA is filed under the name Pongo abelii (Sumatran orangutan). Its description in RNAcentral is "processed transcript". The record is from RNAcentral. Lineage: Eukaryota; Metazoa; Chordata; Mammalia; Primates; Hominidae.
CCCGCGCUGACAGUGUCCCUGGGUCUCCGCGCUUGUCCCGCCGGCCCCGGCCUCGCCGCCCCGCGCAGUGCCCAGCCCGGCCCUGCCGACCCGCUUCUACCGCUGGCUCCGCGCCCUUCCCCGAGGGCUGGAUGAUGGGCUCUUUCGCCCUGCAAACGGUGGACACCGAGCUGACCGCGGACUCGGUGGAGUGGUGCCCGCUGCAAGGCUGCAGGCACCUGCUGGCGUGCGGGACCUACCAGCUGCGGCGGCCGGAGGACCGGCCUGCCGGCCCCCAGAACAAGGUGUCACAUCCCGGUGGGUGGACAUGCCCUCUUGGGCUUGGCAGAUGCCAGUGGAUCCAUACAACUGCUCCGCCUGGUGGAAUAUGAGGUCAGUGACUUGCACUUGUUCUGUGGGGCAGAAGGGACUUGAAUAGAGAGGGUUGGGGAGGAGGCUGUGCUGAUAAAGACAUUUUUCUAGAACGAUCUCUCUUUAAUGGUGAGCUAUAUAUAAACGUUCUAAGAUAACGUGAAGUCUAUUUUUAAGUUGUAUUGCAUUCUACAUCCAACUCCAAGAGGAAGUCACCUCAUGUGUCACUAUAAGGGCUGAAGUGACAGGAUGUUCACUGACCUGUCAGUGAAUCUGAAAGUUCUCCAAUGACAGCCUGGGCAAGCAUUCUUAGGUUGAUGCUGGGGCCCAGAGUAGCAGUGAGCAUUCUGUGUGAAGAUGGCGUUUCUCACUGAUUAUUGGAAAAGCUUGUGAGUCCUGUGUGAAUUUUUCCGGGUUUCUCACAGUGCUCCGGAGCCAUGCAUUAGCAAAGUGACUUCAUCUGAUAGCUGUCAGGGAGGAGAACGGGGAUGUCCCAUAGUGGGGUGAUGUAAACAGCCUGAGACCACGCCCUCACUCCGAUGCGGAUGCUGCAGGCGGGGCUGGGCCAACCGAGGGCCUGUAUAGGAAAGGGCCUUGCUUAAGGCAGCUUAGAGCAGUUGCCCUGUCUUAGAAAGGAGGGAAAGA